This 24-nucleotide non-coding RNA is filed under the name Cricetulus griseus (Chinese hamster). Lineage: Eukaryota; Metazoa; Chordata; Mammalia; Rodentia; Cricetidae. The record is from RNAcentral.
CCUAUCUGAACCCACCGAGGAGCG